RNAcentral lists this ribosomal RNA (440 nucleotides) under uncultured bacterium. Its description in RNAcentral is "partial 16S ribosomal RNA". It matches the Rfam family "Bacterial small subunit ribosomal RNA", at positions 338 to 795 of the family's 1533-position model. The record is from RNAcentral.
CCUACGGUGUGCAGCAGUGGGGAAUAUUGCACAAUGGGGGAAACCCUGAUGCAGCGACGCCGCGUGAGUGAAGAAGUAAUUCGUUAUGUAAAGCUCUAUCAGCAGGGAAGAAAAUGACGGUACCUGAGUAAGAAGCCCCGGCUAACUACGUGCCAGCAGCCGCGGUAAUACGUAGGGGGCAAGCGUUAUCCGGAUUUACUGGGUGUAAAGGGAGCGUAGACGGCAGUGCAAGUCUGGAGUGAAAGGCGGGGGCUCAACUCCGGGACUGCUUUUGAAACUGUUGAACUAGAUUGCAGGAGAGGUAAGUGGAAUUCCUAGUGUAGCGGUGAAAUGCGUAGAUAUUAGGAGGAACACCAGUGGCGAAGGCGGCUUACUGGACUGUAAAUGACGCUGAGGCUCGAAAGCGUGGGGAGCAAACAGGAUUAGAUACCCGAGUAGUC